AGACAACAACCGAGACAACAACCGAGAUAGCAACCGACAUAGCAACCGACAUAGUAACCGAGAUAGUAACCGAAACAGCCGAAACAGCCGAAACAGCCGAAAUGAUAAAAAAAAACGACUCACUGAUUAACAAUUUAACAGAAAAACUAAAAACUGAGUUUGAUAAAAAUACAAAAGUGUUUGAUAAUACAAUAAAAAAAUUAAACGAAUUAUUGGAUGAAUAUAAACCUAUGAUAGAGGAUAAUAAUAAUAAAAUAGAUAAGGAUAUUAUUAAUUAUGGUAACAAAAUAGAAGAAUUAUUUUUAUCAGAUAAAAAACAGUUAAAAUCUGAACAAUAUACUGAACAGAUACAAAAAAAAUAUAUUAACUUGUUGGAUAAACUGAAACAAAACUACAAAGAAGUUAAUAAUAUAUUAAACAAUAUGAUUAAUAACUUAAACAAAGAAAUUAAAAAAACACAACAAUAUAUUAAAAUGGUAAUAGAAAUUAAAAAAAAAAAUGUUAAUAUAGAAAACAUGGAAGAAUGUAUAAAAAAAGCAACUGAUUUUCAAGAUAAUGUAUUAUUAAAAAAAAAAACAGAUAUAGAAGAAUUUUACAAUAAAAACAUUAAAAUUUGGAAUAGUAAAAUUAAUUCGAUAAUGACACAAAAAGAUGAAAAUAGUAGCGACGAUAAUGAUACUUGUCUAAAUAAUUAUGAUGGGAAUAAUGUUACUUAUGUUGAUAAAAAUGGAAAGAACAGUAAAAUGAAUAAUAAACAAAUGAUAACCUACUUAUCUAUUAAACAAGAAAUAAAAAAUAGUCUAACCAUCUUUUAUAUAUUAAUAUAUUAUAUUCAAAAAAUUUCUGGUUUUUAUGACAACAAUGAAAAAGGAAAUAAACAAAAUGUAACAAAUGGAACGAAUCGUACAAACCGUAAAAAUGGAACAAACCGUACGAAAGACAACUCCCCUUUAAAGGAUAAAUAUAAAAAACAGAUCCUCAAAAAAAAACAAUCUGAUAAUUUUACCAUAAAUAAUGACAGCAGUGACAAUAAUGACGAGUUAAACGAAGAAAACAAAUUUUUGGAAAUACAAAAAAAUAUAUACAAAAUAAAUACAUAUAAAAAAAUACAAAAUAUAUAUCAACUACAUAUAAAUGAACAAAACAAAAAUGAACCAAAUACAAAUGGACAAAAAUCACUUUUAAAAGAUUUUUCCCUAACUAAUAAACUAUCAGAAAAUAUAAAUGAACUUAUAUUUUGUUUAAAUACAGAGUCGAUACAAAAGAAUAAAUCGCAUAUUACAGGAGGUACACUAUACAUAGUGCAUGAUAAGCUAAUUUCACUUGAUAUAUACAAAAGUGGCUGUUUUCCACAUAAGGAUCAUGGUAACUCAAUAGAUAACUCUAACACUAUCACUAACUAUGACAAAAAUAAUGAAAAAAUUGAAAAAAUUGAAAAAAAUGAAAAAAAUGAAAAAAA
Long non-coding RNA from Piliocolobus tephrosceles (Ugandan red Colobus), 1459 nucleotides. NCBI's taxonomy places the organism in Eukaryota, Metazoa, Chordata, Mammalia, Primates, Cercopithecidae. The record is from Ensembl.